GAAACUAGAUACAAGCGAGCGGCGGACGGGUGAGUAACACGUGGGUAACCUGCCCAAGAGACUGGGAUAACACCUGGAAACAGAUGCUAAUACCGGAUAACAACACUAGACGCAUGUCUAGAGUUUGAAAGAUGGUUCUGCUAUCACUCUUGGAUGGACCUGCGGUGCAUUAGCUAGUUGGUAAGGUAACGGCUUACCAAGGCAAUGAUGCAUAGCCGAGUUGAGAGACUGAUCGGCCACAUUGGGACUGAGACACGGCCCAAACUCCUACGGGAGGCAGCAGUAGGGAAUCUUCCACAAUGGACGAAAGUCUGAUGGAGCAACGCCGCGUGAGUGAAGAAGGGUUUCGGCUCGUAAAGCUCUGUUGGUAGUGAAGAAAGAUAGAGGUAGUAACUGGCCUUUAUUUGACGGUAAUUACUUAGAAAGUCACGGCUAACUACGUGCCAGCAGCCGCGGUAAUACGUAGGUGGCAAGCGUUGUCCGGAUUUAUUGGGCGUAAAGCGAGUGCAGGCGGUUCAAUAAGUCUGAUGUGAAAGCCUUCGGCUCAACCGGAGAAUUGCAUCAGAAACUGUUGAACUUGAGUGCAGAAGAGGAGAGUGGAACUCCAUGUGUAGCGGUGGAAUGCGUAGAUAUAUGGAAGAACACCAGUGGCGAAGGCGGCUCUCUGGUCUGCAACUGACGCUGAGGCUCGAAAGCAUGGGUAGCGAACAGGAUUAGAUACCCUGGUAGUCCAUGCCGUAAACGAUGAGUGCUAAAGUGUUGGGAGGUUUCCGCCCUCUCAGUGCUGCAGCUAAACGCAUUAAAGCACUCCCGCCUGGGG
Molecule: ribosomal RNA, 820 nt
Filed under: uncultured bacterium
Lineage: Bacteria
Description: bacterial SSU rRNA
Rfam family: Bacterial small subunit ribosomal RNA
Source: RNAcentral